UACGAAGGGGGCUAGCGUUGUUCGGAAUUACUGGGCGUAAAGCGCGCGCAGGCGGUCUUCCAAGUCAGUGGUGAAAGCCCGGAGCUCAACUCCGGAACUGCCAUUGAAACUGUGAGACUUGAGGAUGAGAGAGGUGAGUGGAAUUCCCAGUGUAGAGGUGAAAUUCGUAGAUAUUGGAAAGAACACCGGUGGCGAAGGCGGCUCACUGGCUCAUAUCUGACGCUCAGGCGCGACAGCGUGGGGAUCAAACAGG
RNAcentral lists this ribosomal RNA (253 nucleotides) under uncultured bacterium. RNAcentral's name for it is "partial 16S ribosomal RNA". It matches the Rfam family "Bacterial small subunit ribosomal RNA", at positions 524 to 776 of the family's 1533-position model. The record is from RNAcentral.